AAACAAACUUGCAUAAUUGCUUAACCUUUUUGGUGUUGGCUAUACAGGAUCAUAUCUUUUAAUUCCUCUCAACAUGGUUCCCUUCCUAAUAAUUCUCCACAUGCGAAAGCCAUAAAUGGAGUGUUAACUCAUAUUUGGAUUAACUGCUGAUCUAAAUUAUCUAUCUGGAGGCCUGCCUAGUUUUUAAAAGUAAACUGUUGGGUAGUAUUGUGG
This 213-nucleotide unclassified non-coding RNA is filed under the name Hevea brasiliensis (rubber tree). Lineage: Eukaryota; Viridiplantae; Streptophyta; Magnoliopsida; Malpighiales; Euphorbiaceae. The record is from RNAcentral.